ACAAGCAGCGGAGCGUGUGGUUAAUUCGAUGCUACACGAAGAACCUUACCUGGGUUUGACAUGUACGUAGUAGUGAACCGAAAGGGAACGAGCCUUCGGGCAGCGUACACAGGUGCUGCAUGGCUGUCGUCAGCUCGUGUCGUGAGAUGUUGGGUUAAGUCCCGCAACGAGCGCAACCCUUAUCAUUAGUUGCUACGCAAGGGCACUCUAAUGAGACUGCCGGUGACAAACCGGAGGAAGGUGGGGAUGACGUCAAGUCCUCAUGGCCCUUACAUCCCGGGCUACACACGUGCUACAAUGGCAGGUACAGAGGGCUGCGAAGCCGCGAGGUGGAGCGAAUCCCAGAAAACCUGUCUCAGUCCGGAUUGAAGUCUGCAACUCGACUUCAUGAAGGCGGAAUCGCUAGUAACCGCGAAUCAGCAGGUCGCGGUGAAUACGUUCCCGGGCCUU
Molecule: ribosomal RNA, 450 nt
Filed under: uncultured Derxia sp.
Lineage: Bacteria; Pseudomonadati; Pseudomonadota; Betaproteobacteria; Burkholderiales; Alcaligenaceae
Description: bacterial SSU rRNA
Rfam family: Bacterial small subunit ribosomal RNA
Source: RNAcentral